CAGUAAUUGGCCAUGAUGCUUUUUUCGCCCACAGGACUCUUACAAGUUAUAGUUCAAAACUAAAGAUGCAGGUCACUUCAGAGGUCCACAGUUUUUCUCUUUCUGUUCAAAAACAUGGAGGUGUGACUACCAUAAGAAUUUUGAACACUUUGUAAGACAUCAUUUAUGCACCUAUAUUACUAUUAUUAGCAGUUGAGUUUCCUUCUCAUCUUCAGCAGAGAUUGGUUUUUAAAAAAGUGAAACAAAAUAGCUACAAAGCCUGGAUUCUAGCAAGUCUCUUCC
Molecule: long non-coding RNA, 282 nt
Filed under: Gallus gallus (chicken)
Lineage: Eukaryota; Metazoa; Chordata; Aves; Galliformes; Phasianidae
Source: RNAcentral